CGUUGAUUGUGGAAGAACUGUGAAAACGGUGGACAAUUGAGGAAAGAAGUAUGAAAGGGUGUGGCAGGAUGGGAGAGGAAGUGGUCACGAUGUCGAUGCAGGUGAUGCUGGCGGAGGUACCUCAGGUAUGGCUAACAUACAUCUUCCAUUGUCGUGGUUGUUCGAGAUAGUGGCCUUUUACUUCUUUCCUGGUUCUGCGGGGCACAAGGAUGGAAUGUAUCGUAAUGCUGAUUCUUCUUGUGACGUAUACAUCUCAGUGGAAAAUAUCUUUACGAUCCUGUAAUGAAAGCAAUCAGAGUUUAAUGAUUUCUCGAUGUAAUUUCGAUAUUAUUAGUCAAAGUUUCAGAAGAGAUCCCUAACAAUGUAACCAUAACCAUUUGUUGUAUGUAUGAAUUGUAAUCCAUUAGUUAUAAACAAUUUUCCAUUUCAUGUUUCAAUAUGA
Molecule: long non-coding RNA, 442 nt
Organism: Megalopta genalis
Lineage: Eukaryota; Metazoa; Arthropoda; Insecta; Hymenoptera; Halictidae
Source: RefSeq, a predicted model, not a curated record